RNAcentral lists this transfer RNA (73 nucleotides) under Lachnospiraceae bacterium. RNAcentral's name for it is "tRNA-His". It matches the Rfam family "tRNA". From Rfam's summary of the family: Transfer RNA (tRNA) molecules are approximately 80 nucleotides in length. Their secondary structure includes four short double-helical elements and three loops (D, anti-codon, and T loops). RNAcentral also lists the same sequence under 1 other name. Lineage: Bacteria; Bacillati; Bacillota; Clostridia; Lachnospirales; Lachnospiraceae. The record is from RNAcentral.
GCGGCUGUGGCAGAAAUGGCCAUGCAGCGGCUUGUGGCGCCGCCAGAUGCGGGUUCGAGUCCCGUCAGUCGCC